This 1378-nucleotide unclassified non-coding RNA is filed under the name Hevea brasiliensis (rubber tree). The record is from RNAcentral. Lineage: Eukaryota; Viridiplantae; Streptophyta; Magnoliopsida; Malpighiales; Euphorbiaceae.
AAGCUUCAACUAAAUUUCUCUCUUUUUAUAUUUUUCUUUUUUUCUCAAUUAAGCCCCUAAUUUUAUAGAGUAAUUGCAAUUUGCACCCUAGAAAAAUGCAAUCGCUUACUCCAUCAUCGUCGGGGAUAAAUCUCAAAUCCUUAAUCCAGACGAAGAUACGGUCGAACCGGGUUAACUCGAUUCGACCAGUUAUCACAUGCGUUUACCGGUUUGACGCGGCCAACGCCGCCGUCAACACCGGUACCGCGAAUACCAACUCUGCCGGACACGCCGGCGGUUCUAGAGCCGACUGGCAGAGUUCCUGUGCGAUUUUAGCAAGUAAAGUUGUGUCGCAGCAGCAGAACGCUGAGAAGAGUGGCGGUGCUGGUAACAUCACCGCCGUGAACGGCCAUAAGGCGGCGAUAGAUCUCGAUCUAGUUCCAAUCGAUAACCAACCUAAGCCGCUCACCAUUACUGACCUCUCCCCAGCGCCGAUGCACGGUGCUCAGCUUCGCGUCGCUUACCAAGGCGUACCUGGAGCGUACAGCGAAGCUGCCGCCGGUAAAGCUUAUCCGAAAUGUGAAGCCAUACCUUGUGAUCAAUUCGAGGUUGCAUUCCAAGCCGUUGAACUCUGGAUCGCUGACCGUGCAGUUCUCCCCGUUGAAAACUCUCUCGGAGGAUCUAUUCACAGAAACUACGACCUCCUCCUUCGUCACCGUCUCCACAUCGUCGGAGAAGUUCAACUACCGGUCCACCACUGCCUCUUAGCACUUCCAGGCGUUCGAAAAGAGUAUCUCAACAGAGUCAUAAGCCAUCCACAAGCCUUAGCACAAUGCGAGCUCACAUUAACAAAACUCGGUUUAAACGUAACUCGUGAAGCUGUUGACGAUACCGCCGGCGCUGCUGAAUACAUAGCUUCCCACAACCUCCGUGACACAGCUGCAAUCGCCUCAGCACGCGCUGCCGAUCUAUACGGUCUCCAGAUCUUAGCUGAAGGAAUCCAGGACGAUUCAAGCAACGUAACUCGUUUCGUUAUGCUAGCUCGUGAACCAAUAAUUCCUCGAACCGAUCGUCCAUUCAAAACAAGCAUCGUCUUCGCACAUGAUAAAGGAACAAGCGUUCUGUUCAAAGUUUUAUCAGCUUUCGCAUUCAGAAACAUCAGUUUAACGAAAAUCGAGUCACGGCCUCACCGGAAUCGUCCGAUCCGGCUAGUCGACGACGCUAACGUCGGAACGGCGAAGCAUUUCGAGUACAUGUUCUAUGUAGAUUUCGAAGCUUCCAUGGCGGAUGUUAGAGCUCAAAAUGCAUUGGCUGAAGUUCAGGAGUUCACGUCGUUUUUGAGGGUUUUGGGAAGUUAUCCAAUGGAUAUGACUCCAUGGUGUCCUUCUCGUGAAGAUUA